GAUGAACGCUGGCGGCGUGCCUAAUACAUGCAAGUCGAGCGAACAGAUGAGGAGCUUGCUCCUCUGACGUUAGCGGCGGACGGGUGAGUAACACGUGGAUAACCUACCUAUAAGACUGGGAUAACUUCGGGAAACCGGAGCUAAUACCGGAUAAUAUAUUGAACCGCAUGGUUCAAUAGUGAAAGACGGUUUUGCUGUCACUUAUAGAUGGAUCCGCGCCGCAUUAGCUAGUUGGUAAGGUAACGGCUUACCAAGGCAACGAUGCGUAGCCGACCUGAGAGUGUGAUCGGCCACACUGGAAGUGAGACACGCUCAAGACGCCAAAGGGAGGCAGCAGUAGGGAAUGUUCGGCAAUGGGGGAAUGCAUGACAGAGCAACGCUGAGUGAGUGAUGAAGAUCUUCUAAUCGUAAAACUCUGUUAUUAGGGAAGAACAAAGGUAUAAGUAACUAUGCACGGCUUGACGGGACCUAAUCAGAAAGCCACGGCUAACUACGUG
This 497-nucleotide ribosomal RNA is filed under the name uncultured bacterium. RNAcentral's name for it is "partial 16S ribosomal RNA". It matches the Rfam family "Bacterial small subunit ribosomal RNA", at positions 28 to 507 of the family's 1533-position model. The record is from RNAcentral.